This 475-nucleotide ribosomal RNA is filed under the name uncultured bacterium. Its description in RNAcentral is "bacterial SSU rRNA". It matches the Rfam family "Bacterial small subunit ribosomal RNA", at positions 8 to 524 of the family's 1533-position model. The record is from RNAcentral.
AGAGUUUGAUCCUGGCUCAGGAUGAACGCUGGCGGUAUGCCUUAUACAUGCAAGUCGAACGGGAGUUUUUAACUCUAGUGGCGGACGGGUGAGUAACACGUAAGAAUUUGCCUUUAGGAGGGGGACAACAACUGGAAACGGUUGCUAAUACCCCAUAUGCUUUCGAGUAAAAUGGAUUUCCGCCUAAAGAGAAGCUCGCGGCUGAUUAGCUUGUUGGUAAGGUAAGAGCUUACCAAGGCGACGAUCAGUAUCUGGUUUGAGAGGACGAUCAGACACACUGGAACUGAGACACGGUCCAGACUCCUACGGGAGGCAGCAGUGGGGAAUUUUCCGCAAUGGGCGAAAGCCUGACGGAGCAAUACCGCGUGAGGGAAGACUGCCUAUGGGUUGUAAACCUCUUUUUUCAGGGAGGAAUAAAAUGACGUGUACCUGAAGAAUAAGCAUCGGCUAACUCCGUGCCAGCAGCCGCGGUAAG